CUCCAACGAAGAAGUCGAUGGGCUGGUUCAUGCCUGGAAACACAGAGCGGAGAAUGAGAAGUGAGUGAGAAACUGAAGAGAAGUAAAAAUCAGGCUCACCUGCAGGGGUGUAGAUCAGCCGGUAUCCCUGGAUGGGUGCAGUCACCGGGUCCCAGGCCACCCUGAAGCGCGUGUACCACUCGUCCGAGAUCCGAAGGUUUCUGGGACUCAACAUGCCGACUUUGACACAGAGGAGGCAUCGAAUUUUAGACAUGAGUCUGAAGAUCCAAACGGCACAGAGCCAGAGAUUUUCAGUAGCCGAAGAAGAAAAAGCAUAAAUCAGUCAGGAAAGAUUUGCAUCCAGAGCGUCCUGAGUUGCUUUGCUAUCUGCACAUCUGCUGCACAUGGUAUGUGUAAUUGGUGAGCGGAGCUGACCCAGUGCUCCCAGUCACAGGACAAGCUGCUACACCUGCUUUCCACAGAGUUCCUUCCACACAUGUCUGUGCAUGUAUGAUUUUGGAGAUUUCUGCUUCCUUUUUCUCUCUUAUUCAGUUUUUGAGGAGUUUUCCUGUUUUCUAAAUCAAAGAUCUAAGAAUAAAGGGUGUCAUGCUAUAUACAGAGAGAGACUAUAAACUGUGAAGUGAAGAUGCCUCAAACCACACAUCCUCCUUGCAAUGAAGUCAAAUUCUCGAUUAUUUUGCUUCCUAUUUUUUAUAGAUUUUUAUUUAUUUAUUUUUUUGCUAUCUUAACCAGUUUACUGAAGUGCACUGAUUAAGGCUAUAACCCCAUCAGAAAGUUUUCAAGUGACAAGAAGAGUCCUUUUACCAGGGUGGACUUCUUUUUGCAACCAAAGGAAUCACCCCCUGCUGGCCAAUAUAAAGAAUGCAAGCUGAAACAACUUCCUACUGCUAUGCCCUUAUAUCUUUUAUAUACAGUCCAUGUUCAGUGGUGAGUUUUGCUCCCUGUUUAAAUAAAAGUAAAAUAAUAGAAAACCAUUUGGAUUCAUCUGGAAUUUGAAUCAAGGACCCAAAUAUUAGUUUAAAUGAGAAACGGUCAUUAAAAUCAAUUAAUCAAAGUUAAAUUUGGGUAAAAUUUUAUUCCAAAUUUUAGUGCGAAUAAAUUUGGUUUGUGCAGUAAGAUAAAGAGAAGAGCCUGAAAAAUACAAAAACUGUUGGUGGUGCACAAUUUUACAUUUUAGGCUUUAAUAUUUUAGAAGACUACUUCUCUAAUAAACAGGAAAUAACUUCUUCAGCCUUGUGAGGCAGAAAAUUGCUUCUCGGUGGGAUUAUAGAAACUGUGUACCAACACGAACCUUCCAAAUUAUUUACAGAUGCUAAAUUGAUCACUUUGCAUCGGUAUAAAUAAUAGUCGUGAGCUCUUUGGUCAGUCCCAAUCUGGAGAGCUCCUUUCAUCGGCGUCCCUCUGCUGCAGUUAGCUGACUCACUCUGAGCAAGUGUUAGACUAACGAGCAGAAGGGAAGCACAGCUGGGCCGUCUCCGCUCUCCACCAUCGUUCCAACUUAUUAUUCAGAACUAUUAAUAACGCUAUUAUGCCCCAAAUUAUACAGUUUGUUUAACUGAGCCUGUAAUUAGUCUCCCUAAUCUGUGAUUUAUAUCCUGAAUGAGGCGAGGGAAUCCUGAGAUGUGACUUCACCGCAUAGUCCGAGGGGGACGUCACAGCGAGCUGUGAAUGGCGAGGGUUUGCGGCCAGUUUAUCCAAAACAAAACACAUCACCACCUGAGAUUAAUCCCUCUUUAUGGGUUAAAGAGAGAGUAAGAAAUACACUUGAGGUUAGUGGGUCUGAUGCAUUUCCUCCGAAAUGACUUCACCAAAAUGUCUCAGCCUCUGAGGUCGUUUUUAAAAAUUUUAUCAUCAGUGUGCGUAGUUUAGUUUCUGCAAGGGUAAGACCAGCUUUCCUUCAGACAAUACAGGCAGGUAAUCAGAGUGCGAAGGAAAGUAUAUUUACCCCCAAACAGGCCACUAAACCAUUUUGGAAAUGUGACCAUCACUAAUGCCUGAUUUUAAAUUUGUACUGACUGGCUCCUUCUCUGGGAUGACUGCUCUACUUUAGCACUGUUACCAGUAACAUGUUGAUGUUAUCUGAGAUGAUUUGAUAUUGUGGACGUCAAUGAGCUUAAAGUUU
Long non-coding RNA from Maylandia zebra (zebra mbuna), 2122 nucleotides. RefSeq lists it as uncharacterized. Lineage: Eukaryota; Metazoa; Chordata; Actinopteri; Cichliformes; Cichlidae. The record is from RefSeq and is a predicted model, not a curated record.